RNAcentral lists this ribosomal RNA (857 nucleotides) under uncultured bacterium. RNAcentral's name for it is "SSU rRNA". It matches the Rfam family "Bacterial small subunit ribosomal RNA", at positions 524 to 1381 of the family's 1533-position model. The record is from RNAcentral.
UACGGGAGUGGCAAGCGUUAUCCGGAAUUAUUGGGCGUAAAGCGUCCGCAGGCGGCCUUGUAAGUCUGUUGUUAAAGCGUGGAGCUUAACUCCAUUUGAGCAAUGGAAACUGCAAGGCUUGAGUGUGGUAGGGGCAGAGGGAAUUCCCGGUGUAGCGGUGAAAUGCGUAGAUAUCGGGAAGAACACCAGUGGCGAAGGCGCUCUGCUGGGCCAUAACUGACGCUCAUGGACGAAAGCCAGGGGAGCGAAAGGGAUUAGAUACCCCUGUAGUCCUGGCCGUAAACGAUGAACACUAGGUGUCGGGGGAAUCGACCCCCUCGGUGUCGUAGCCAACGCGUUAAGUGUUCCGCCUGGGGAGUACGCACGCAAGUGUGAAACUCAAAGGAAUUGACGGGGGCCCGCACAAGCGGUGGAGUAUGUGGUUUAAUUCGAUGCAACGCGAAGAACCUUACCAGGGUUUGACAUCCUGCGAAUCCCUUGGAAACGAGGGAGUGCCUUCGGGAGCGCAGUGACAGGUGGUGCAUGGCUGUCGUCAGCUCGUGUCGUGAGAUGUUGGGUUAAGUCCCGCAACGAGCGCAACCCACGUCGUUAGUUGCCAGCAUUCAGUUGGGCACUCUAGCGAGACCGCCGGUGAUAAACCGGAGGAAGGUGUGGAUGACGUCAAGUCAUCAUGCCCCUUACAUCCUGGGCUACACACGUACUACAAUGCUACGGACAAAGGGCAGCAAACUCGCGAGAGCUAGCAAAUCCCAUAAACCGUGGCUCAGUUCAGAUCGUAGGCUGCAACUCGCCUACGUGAAGGAGGAAUCGCUAGUAAUCGCAGGUCAGCAUACUGCGGUGAAUACGUUCCCGGGCCU